This 347-nucleotide ribosomal RNA is filed under the name Alexandrium margalefii. RNAcentral describes it as "partial Bacterial small subunit ribosomal RNA". It matches the Rfam family "Bacterial small subunit ribosomal RNA", at positions 470 to 816 of the family's 1533-position model. Lineage: Eukaryota; Dinophyceae; Gonyaulacales; Pyrocystaceae. The record is from RNAcentral.
UGACAGUACCUGGUAAAGAAACCCCGGCUAACUCCGUGCCAGCAGCCGCGGUAAUACGGAGGGGGUUAGCGUUGUUCGGAAUUACUGGGCGUAAAGCGCGCGUAGGCGGACCAGAAAGUAUGGGGUGAAAUCCCGGGGCUCAACCCCGGAACUGCCUCAUAAACUCCUGGUCUUGAGUUCGAGAGAGGUGAGUGGAAUUCCAAGUGUAGAGGUGAAAUUCGUAGAUAUUCGGAGGAACACCAGAGGCGAAGGCGAUGCACUGGACCGGUACUGACGCUGAGGUGCGAAAGCGUGGGGAGCGAACAGGAUUAGAUACCCUGGCAGUCCACACCGUAAACGCUGUCUAC